GACGAACGCUGGCGGCGUGCUUAACACAUGCAAGUCGAACGGAAAGGCCCUGCUUUUGUGGGGUGCUCGAGUGGCGAACGGGUGAGUAACACGUGAGUAACCUGCCCUUGACUUUGGGAUAACUUCAGGAAACUGGGGCUAAUACCGGAUAGGAGCUCCUGCUGCAUGGUGGGGGUUGGAAAGUUUCGGCGGUUGGGGAUGGACUCGCGGCUUAUCAGCUUGUUGGUGGGGUAGUGGCUUACCAAGGCUUUGACGGGUAGCCGGCCUGAGAGGGUGACCGGCCACAUUGGGCCUGAGAUACGGCCCAGCCUCCUACGGGAGGCAGCAGUGGGGAAUAUUGCACAAUGGGCGGAAGCCUGAUGCAGCAACGCCGCGUGCGGGAUGACGGCCUUCGGGUUGUAAACCGCUUUCGCCUGUGACGAAGCGUGAGUGACGGUAAUGGGUAAAGAAGCUCCGGCUAACUACGUG
This 468-nucleotide ribosomal RNA is filed under the name uncultured bacterium. RNAcentral describes it as "partial 16S ribosomal RNA". It matches the Rfam family "Bacterial small subunit ribosomal RNA", at positions 28 to 507 of the family's 1533-position model. The record is from RNAcentral.